This 276-nucleotide long non-coding RNA is filed under the name Elaeis guineensis (African oil palm). RNAcentral's name for it is "long non-coding RNA (EGUI_LNC052337)". Lineage: Eukaryota; Viridiplantae; Streptophyta; Magnoliopsida; Arecales; Arecaceae. The record is from RNAcentral.
GAGGAACCUCAUACUGAAUCCUAAUCAGCGAAAGUUUGUCCGAAGUUAGAGAGCUGGGAAUGGUGUCUGGUACAAAGACCGGAUGAGAUUCGUCUAUAGAACUAGGAUUUUGUGGGACUGAAACGGACGAACUCCUAGAACUGCUAGAGGAGGAAGUGUUGGAGGACAUUAUGAAUCAAGCAAAAACCCUAAAAAAUCUCGAAAAAAUUGGGAAAAAUAAAAAACAAGGCGCUCGCAGAGAAACUGAACGGGCGUAAUGAGAAGGAGAAAAAAAUG